RNA transcript from Sycon ciliatum, 1538 nucleotides. RefSeq lists it as uncharacterized. NCBI's taxonomy places the organism in Eukaryota, Metazoa, Porifera, Calcarea, Leucosolenida, Sycettidae. The transcript is spliced from 2 exons. The record is from RefSeq and is a predicted model, not a curated record.
CGACCGCUAACAGCAACUGUGGAACAGUGCAGUGCCCUUUUUUGGAGCAACGUACGAGUAGUGCCCAUGGAUUAUGACCCCGCGACCCCAAUCUACGUGGCGGUCCGCAAUUCGCUACUUCAUACUGACUGGCGUCCGGCAUCGUCCCGAAUUUGGCCACAAUCUGCUCUCGGGACCCCUAUAGGGCUCCCUAACCUGCUCCAUCUCCGCCAUCGUCAAUGUACUGCGCAUCCACCCAGGCCAGGACUGCACUUACUUACGGGAAGGAGUAUUUGCAAGAUGGAACCUGGGAACUGGAAGACGACGAAGAGGAAGCGUGGGAAUCCGGCGGCAAUGGCUGGGAUGUAAGUCCAACAUUGCUGGUGCCAGAGUUGCCACUGCUUGCUUAUAAGGGAAUCAUGUGUGUUGCCUUUUUGCCUUUUCCGACGUCCUCCUCCGACUGUACUCCCGAUCCCAGGACUGAACUUACGGGAAGGAGUGCUUCCAAGAUGGGAGACGAAGAAGAAGAAGCCGCUGAAUCCGGCGGCAAUGGCUGGGAUUGUCGGACUGUCCGCGUCGCAUUGAACUGGUCCGAUGAGGCUGCUAUUGCACACACAGUGAGGGAACUCCCAUACGGGAACUCGGAAGUACUGCUACAGUACAGGUAAGGUGGCCAUUGCUUAUGUGCGUGCGCCGUUGUUGUCAACUUCUAAGCCAGCUGUACUCCAACCUACAUGGAGUUUGAAAGUAGUCAGCUGGCGAACUACAAUUGAAGUUUAGACGUUAUAUGCCGCGGCUUGGUCAGCUUUUUCAGUUUCACAAUGCAUUGCACUCAGCACCGCUUCUCGGAAUAUCUUGUCAGGAUAGCUGUGGAACGCAUCCUCCCCAGUGGGGGAACGGCAAAUAUGCUGUUCAUUUUUUAGGCUUGCUUUUAUGGUACGUACAAAUCCCCAUUGAAAAGACAUAGUGGAGACCAGAAACUGCAAAUAGAUGUUGGGAACCGCGAAGACCACCCUUCCUUGUCAAGUUCCCUGAGGGUGUGGAGGGGGGGGGGGGACCGGAGGAGGGACAUUCCUGCACUGCUUAAAGCAGGAUUCACAGGAGAGUUCAGAAAUUGCUUGUACAUUUGUACCAGUUGUAACCGACAAACGCAUUCUCAUUGAGCUUUGACUUGAGGCACGUCGGCAAGUCGCUUUGCAUCGCUGACGUCUUGUCGUGAUUCUGUGAAUGGUAUUUUGUGCGAGUUUGCAUCGCACGCAGAAUCGCAGGUCGUGUCGCAUUGCGCAGCACACUGCCAAAUUGCUUCUGUGAAUCCCACGUGAAUGGGAAUUCCAAUGGGAAUGUAAUCCAUUGCCAACAGGUGUAUUCCCGAGCUGCGCAUCAUACUGCGAAAUUGCUCCUGUGCACGCAAAUGGAUUUCAUUGCUCUUCAGUAGUUUGGGAAAUUCUCGAUUAUGAUAAUUCUGCGUGUGUGUGUACACCAGCCCUGAACAUACAUGUAGGUGACCCAUUCGUGGUGUCUCAUAGCCUACCUCACGACCUUAUGCUUUCUUUCUGUAU